UGGCGGGCUAGUCCGGGUAGCUCGGCGUUACCUGUAACCUAAAAUCGCCGAUAUGUAGGGGACGAAGCCAAGGGAAGGUGCCUCAAUCAGGCACGGACCUGUGAACUCAACUGAGAAGCUCCGUCCUGCUUGGACGAUGUAGAUACAGGGGCUUGCUGGAGAGCAGGUCUCUGUGUCCUCACUGCGGGAACCGGUCAAGGCCCGGAAGGGAGCAGACCAACUGCGGGCAUACGUCGCUUGCAGGGUCACGGAGUGGAGACGAGAUCACAGAUCAUCCGUGUCUGUGCGAGACAUCGACCUGCGGCAUGCCUGCCG
Non-coding RNA from Methanosalsum zhilinae DSM 4017, 315 nucleotides. It matches the Rfam family "Archaeal signal recognition particle RNA". Lineage: Archaea; Methanobacteriati; Methanobacteriota; Methanomicrobia; Methanosarcinales; Methanosarcinaceae. The record is from Rfam.